CCAGUGAAGACGAAAUCUGCACGGAAAAGGAUAAGUUUUGCCCAAAUGGUACGAAACCGUGCUGCCUAACUCUCUAUUCAGAAGUGCGCCUGACAUCAGAGAAAGUUCACAUAAAAGAAAAAUGUGUGCCCGAAGGUACACCCUGCGAUAACAGACAGGUUGGUUGGCCGCUAAGUGAGUGCCCUAAGCCCCAGUCUGACUAUACCAUCGAGUGUUCGGUAACAGGAUGGACAAGUGGAAUAUGCAUGUGCGAAUGCGUGCACAAAUAUACAGAUCCAUUUGAUUGACUACUUAUGGAGAGAGUGGACGAUAACAGAACACGUCCACAUUGAAGACUUACACAGAAAAUAUUGUGCAUACGUCUCGAAGCUCCACCCAAGAAACCAUGUGUUGAAUAU
This is a long non-coding RNA of Dermacentor silvarum, 398 nucleotides long. RefSeq lists it as uncharacterized. NCBI's taxonomy places the organism in Eukaryota, Metazoa, Arthropoda, Arachnida, Ixodida, Ixodidae. The transcript is spliced from 3 exons. The record is from RefSeq and is a predicted model, not a curated record.